AUUCUAAACGCUGUUCUUUGAGCAGGAAAGACGCUGAAGUUACGACUCCGCUCUUUCUCGGACGUUUGAUCGAUCAACAAAUAACGGGACUGGACCACUGCUAUUUAUUUCAUGACUGUAAUUUGAAAGAGAAACAAGUGAAUAUUUUAGUGUAAACCUUACCAUUCUCUUAAUCGUCAUAGUUGAGUAUAAUAUUGUUUCUGAAAGAAUUUGACGCCUCGAAUUUGGGACGUAUGUAGUUCAUUUUCUGUGUGAUCUGAGAAGUUCAGAUAGCUGUGGUUUGAUAUAGUUUCUGCAUGAAGUAUCUUAAGAUAUCUAUGUUUUUUGUGUGUGUAUUGUAGAUAGAGCUGGUUUGAAAUGAAUGUUUCAUAGAUGUCUAUUAUUUGGAGUUAAUGCAGUUUUGUUUGUUUGCAUCUUUUUCACUGAAUUUAUCAUAGCUCAUUUGGCUUGUUCUGGAUUUGUCAUCAUGCUUUCAUGAAUUUUGAUGGUUUAGUAAAAUGCAGGGUAGAGAAAUAACAAAUAGAUCGCAUAGCGAAGUGGAUAUCGUGUUAGACUCCGGAUCUAAAGGUCGUGGGUUCGAAUCCCACUGCGAUCGAUACAAUUUUUUUUGCCAACUUUUUGACAUCUUAUAGGAUACUACUAAAUGUACUUGGCACUGUUACUACAAUGUUAUACCAAGUUCAAGUGGCAUUAUACUAUAUAUGGUCUUUAAUUGUUUA
This is a long non-coding RNA of Ipomoea nil (Japanese morning glory), 719 nucleotides long. RefSeq lists it as uncharacterized. Lineage: Eukaryota; Viridiplantae; Streptophyta; Magnoliopsida; Solanales; Convolvulaceae. The transcript has 3 exons. The record is from RefSeq and is a predicted model, not a curated record.